Molecule: ribosomal RNA, 253 nt
Filed under: uncultured bacterium
Lineage: Bacteria
Description: partial 16S ribosomal RNA
Rfam family: Bacterial small subunit ribosomal RNA
Source: RNAcentral
UACGUAGGGGGCAAGCGUUGUCCGGAUUUAUUGGGCGUAAAGAGCGUGUAGGCGGCCUGAAAGGUCAGCUGUGAAAACUCGAGGCUCAACCUCGAGACGUCGGUUGAAACCAUCUGGCUAGAGUCCGGAAGAGGAGAGUGGAAUUCCCGGUGUAGCGGUGAAAUGCGCAGAUAUCGGGAAGAACACCCGUGGCGAAGGCAGCUCUCUGGGACGGUACUGACGCUGAGACGCGAAAGCGUGGGGAGCGAACAGG